This 73-nucleotide transfer RNA is filed under the name FCB group bacterium. RNAcentral describes it as "tRNA-Thr". It matches the Rfam family "tRNA". From Rfam's summary of the family: Transfer RNA (tRNA) molecules are approximately 80 nucleotides in length. Their secondary structure includes four short double-helical elements and three loops (D, anti-codon, and T loops). Further hydrogen bonds mediate the characteristic L-shaped molecular structure. tRNAs have two regions of fundamental functional importance: the anti-codon, which is responsible for specific mRNA codon recognition, and the 3' end, to which the tRNAs corresponding amino acid is attached (by aminoacyl-tRNA synthetases). tRNAs cope with the degeneracy of the genetic code in two manners: having more than one tRNA (with a specific anti-codon) for a particular amino acid; and 'wobble' base-pairing, i.e. permitting non-standard base-pairing at the 3rd anti-codon position. The record is from RNAcentral. Lineage: Bacteria; Pseudomonadati.
GCCCAGAUAGCUCAGCAGGUAGAGCACGUCCUUGGUAAGGACGAGGUCACCAGUUCGAGUCUGGUUCUGGGCU